GUGAGAAUGUUGGCAUGAGUAGCGAGAUGUGGGUGAGAAUCCCACAGGCCGUAAACCCAAGGUUUCCAGGGGAAGGUUCGUCCGCCCUGGGGUAGUCGGGACCUAAGCUGAGGCCGAAAGGCGUAGGUGAUGGACAACAGGUUGAUAUUCCUGUACUACCGAUAACCGUUUGAGAGAAGGGAUGACACAGUAGGAUAAGCUAAGCACCCUGUUGGUUAUGUGUGCCCAAGCAUUGAGGCAGUCAAAGUAGGCAAAUCCGCUUUGAUAAUGCUGGGAUGUGAUGGGGAGCGAAAUUUAGUAGCGAAGUAGCUGAUUUCACACUGUCAAGA
Molecule: ribosomal RNA, 329 nt
Filed under: Clostridioides difficile
Lineage: Bacteria; Bacillati; Bacillota; Clostridia; Peptostreptococcales; Peptostreptococcaceae
Description: bacterial LSU rRNA
Rfam family: Bacterial large subunit ribosomal RNA
Source: RNAcentral